Molecule: ribosomal RNA, 331 nt
Filed under: uncultured fungus
Lineage: Eukaryota; Fungi
Description: eukaryotic LSU rRNA
Rfam family: 5.8S ribosomal RNA (bases 1-71)
Source: RNAcentral
GUGAGUCAUCGAAUCUUUGAACGCAUCUUGCGCUCCGGGGUAUUCCUCGGAGCAUGCCUGUUUGAGUGUCGUGGAAAUCUCAACCCCGCCGGGUUUUGUCGCUCGGUAGUUGGGCUUGGAUCGUGACCGCUUGCCGGCCUCAGUUCGGAGGCCCGGGCUCGGUCGAAAUACAAGAGUGGCUGAUUCCCAAUCCGGCCUGACUCGGCGUGAUAAUCACACUUCGCCGAUUACGGAUGGGCCAAAGGUCGCUUCCAAGGACACAUCACUUUUGAACUAGACCUCAAAUCAGGUAGGACUACCCGCUGAACUUAAGCAUAUCAAUAAGGCGAGG